This 491-nucleotide ribosomal RNA is filed under the name uncultured bacterium. Its description in RNAcentral is "partial 16S ribosomal RNA". It matches the Rfam family "Bacterial small subunit ribosomal RNA", at positions 29 to 507 of the family's 1533-position model. The record is from RNAcentral.
AGUGAACGCUGGCGGUAGGCCUAACACAUGCAAGUCGAACGGCAGCACAGUAAGAGCUUGCUCUUACGGGUGGCGAGUGGCGGACGGGUGAGGAAUACAUCGGAAUCUACUUUUUCGUGGGGGAUAACGUAGGGAAACUUACGCUAAUACCGCAUACGACCUACGGGUGAAAGCAGGGGAUCUUCGGACCUUGCGCGAUUGAUGAGCCGAUGUCGGAUUAGCUAGUUGGCGGGGUAAAGGCCCACCAAGGCGACGAUCCGUAGCUGGUCUGAGAGGAUGAUCGGCCACACUGGAACUGAGACACGGUCCAGACUCCUACGGGAGGCAGCAGUGGGGAAUAUUGGACAAUGGGCGCAAGCCUGAUCCAGCCAUACCGCGUGGGUGAAGAAGGCCUUCGGGUUGUAAAGCCCUUUUGUUGGGAAAGAAAAGCAGCGGGUUAAUACCCCGCUGUUCUGACGGUACCCAAAGAAUAAGCACCGGCUAACUUCGUG